This 385-nucleotide long non-coding RNA is filed under the name Chlamydomonas reinhardtii. Its description in RNAcentral is "long non-coding RNA (CREI_LNC001371)". Lineage: Eukaryota; Viridiplantae; Chlorophyta; Chlorophyceae; Chlamydomonadales; Chlamydomonadaceae. The record is from RNAcentral.
CGCACUGAUUACCAUGGUGACCAUAUUGGUAGUAAGGAUGGGUCAAAUGAGGGUCCAAACCCAGAUCUACAACUGUGAAGUACAGCAAGACCAGCCCUCCGCCUGCUGCAUUGAUAGUCCUGACGCUGUGUCCGUGGUGGCAAUGAUCCUGCCACCACGCCUCCCUCCUUUUGCAUCAAAGAAAUAUGUUCCUCAUUGCGUUCGCGAUUCCCUCUUGAUGUUCGCCUUCCCCGCCCUCCUGCAGACAAGGGCGGCGAGUGGCAGGAGGGUGAGGUGGUGACGGGGGUGGUGUAUCGCCACUUGCCGGCCGGCACCGGCCCCGAGUCCGCCCCCGUGGAGCGCUCCGCGCGCGCGCACCUGACGCUGGUGUGCGACGGCAUGUAUU